This 445-nucleotide ribosomal RNA is filed under the name Streptococcus gordonii. RNAcentral's name for it is "bacterial SSU rRNA". It matches the Rfam family "Bacterial small subunit ribosomal RNA", at positions 28 to 455 of the family's 1533-position model. Lineage: Bacteria; Bacillati; Bacillota; Bacilli; Lactobacillales; Streptococcaceae. The record is from RNAcentral.
GACGAACGCUGGCGGCGUGCCUAAUACAUGCAAGUAGAACGCACAGUUUAUACCGUAGCUUGCUACACCAUAGACUGUGAGUUGCGAACGGGUGAGUAACGCGUAGGUAACCUGCCUGGUAGCGGGGGAUAACUAUUGGAAACGAUAGCUAAUACCGCAUAAUAUUAAUUAUUGCAUGAUAAUUGAUUGAAAGGUGCAAUUGCACCACUACCAGAUGGACCUGCGUUGUAUUAGCUAGUAGGUGAGGUAACGGCUCACCUAGGCGACGAUACAUAGCCGACCUGAGAGGGUGAUCGGCCACACUGGGACUGAGACACGGCCCAGACUCCUACGGGAGGCAGCAGUAGGGAAUCUUCGGCAAUGGACGAAAGUCUGACCGAGCAACGCCGCGUGAGUGAAGAAGGUUUUCGGAUCGUAAAGCUCUGUUGUAAGAGAAGAACGGGUG